GCUGCUAUGGCUCAGUCGGUAGAGCACGUCCUUGGUAAGGACGGGGUCACCGGUUCAAAUCCGGUUAGCAGCUCCA
RNAcentral lists this transfer RNA (76 nucleotides) under Firmicutes bacterium ADurb.Bin080. Its description in RNAcentral is "tRNA-Thr". It matches the Rfam family "tRNA". From Rfam's summary of the family: Transfer RNA (tRNA) molecules are approximately 80 nucleotides in length. Their secondary structure includes four short double-helical elements and three loops (D, anti-codon, and T loops). Lineage: Bacteria; Bacillati; Bacillota. The record is from RNAcentral. RNAcentral also lists the same sequence under 2 other names.